Molecule: ribosomal RNA, 425 nt
Filed under: uncultured bacterium
Lineage: Bacteria
Description: bacterial SSU rRNA
Rfam family: Bacterial small subunit ribosomal RNA
Source: RNAcentral
GUAAGGAAUAUUGGUCAAUGGACGAAAGUCUGAACCAGCCAUGCCGCGUGGAGGAUGAAGGUCCUCUGGAUUGUAAACUUCUUUUAUAUGGGACGAAAAAAGGGUUUUCUAACUCGUCUGACGGUACCAUAUGAAUAAGCACCGGCUAACUCCGUGCCAGCAGCCGCGGUAAUACGGAGGGUGCAAGCGUUAUCCGGAUUCACUGGGUUUAAAGGGUGCGUAGGUGGGUUGGUAAGUCAGUGGUGAAAUCCCCGAGCUUAACUUGGGAACUGCCAUUGAUACUAUCAGUCUUGAAUACCGUGGAGGUUAGCGGAAUAUGUCAUGUAGCGGUGAAAUGCUUAGAUAUGACAUAGAACACCAAUUGCGAAGGCAGCUGGCUACACGAAUAUUGACACUGAGGCACGAAAGCGUGGGGAUCAAACAGG